GAUGAACGCUGGCGGCGUGCCCAACACAUGCAAGUCGAGCGAUUUACUUCGGUAAAGAGCGGCGGACGGGUGAGUAACGCGUGGGUAACCUGCCCUGUACACACGGAUAACAUACCGAAAGGUAUGCUAAUACGGGAUAACAUGUUUUUAUCGCAUGGUAAAAAUAUCAAAGCUCCGGCGGUACAGGAUGGACCCGCGUCUGAUUAGCUAGUUGGUAAGGUAACGGCUUACCAAGGCGACGAUCAGUAGCCGACCUGAGAGGGUGAUCGGCCACAUUGGAACUGAGACACGGUCCAAACUCCUACGGGAGGCAGCAGUGGGGAAUAUUGCACAAUGGGCGAGAGCCUGAUGCAGCAACGCCGCGUGAGCGAUGAAGGCCUUCGGGUCGUAAAGCUCUGUCCUCAAGGAAGAUAAUGACGGUACUUGAGGAGGAAGCCCCGGCUAACUACGUGCCAGCAGCCGCGGUAAUACGUAGGGGGCUAGCGUUAUCCGGAAUGACUGGGCGUAAAGGGUGCGUAGGUGGUUUCUUAAGUCAGAGGUGAAAGGCUACGGCUCAACCGUAGUAAGCCUUUGAAACUGAGAAACCUGAGUACAGGAGAGGAGAGUAGAAUUCCUAGUGUAGCGGUGAAAUGCGUAGAUAUUAGGAGGAAUACCAGUUGCGAAGGCGGCUCUCUGGACUGUAACUGACACUGAGGCACGAAAGCGUGGGGAGCAAACAGGAUUAGAUACCCUGGUAGUCCACGCCGUAAACGAUGAGUACUAGCUGUCGGAGGUUACCCCCUUCGGUGGCGCAGCUAACGCAUUAAGUACUCCGCCUGGGAAGUACGCUCGCAAGAGUGAAACUCAAAGGAUUGACGGGGACCCGCACAAGUAGCGGAGCAUGUGGUUUAAUUCGAAGCAACGCGAAGAACCUUACCUAAGCUUGAC
Molecule: ribosomal RNA, 927 nt
Filed under: uncultured bacterium
Lineage: Bacteria
Description: bacterial SSU rRNA
Rfam family: Bacterial small subunit ribosomal RNA
Source: RNAcentral